GGGUCCUUGGUGUAAUGGUAGCAUAGAAGUCUCCAAAACUUUUGGUUAGAGUUCAAAUCUUUAAGGGCCUGCCA
This 74-nucleotide transfer RNA is filed under the name Crassvirales sp. Its description in RNAcentral is "tRNA-Trp". It matches the Rfam family "tRNA". From Rfam's summary of the family: Transfer RNA (tRNA) molecules are approximately 80 nucleotides in length. Their secondary structure includes four short double-helical elements and three loops (D, anti-codon, and T loops). The record is from RNAcentral. Lineage: Duplodnaviria; Heunggongvirae; Uroviricota; Caudoviricetes; Crassvirales.